This 1475-nucleotide ribosomal RNA is filed under the name uncultured Bordetella sp. Its description in RNAcentral is "partial 16S-23S ribosomal RNA intergenic spacer". It matches the Rfam family "Bacterial small subunit ribosomal RNA". Lineage: Bacteria; Pseudomonadati; Pseudomonadota; Betaproteobacteria; Burkholderiales; Alcaligenaceae. The record is from RNAcentral.
GGUUCGAUCAUGGCUCAGAUUGAACGCUGGCCGGGAUGCUUUACACAUGCAAGUCGAACGGCAGCACGGACUUCGGUCUGGUGGCGAGUGGCGAACGGGUGAGUAAUGUAUCGGAACGUGCCUAGUAGCGGGGGAUAACACGCGGCGUAGCUAAUACCGCAUACGCCCUUCGAAGAGGGGAAAGCGGGGGACCUUCGGGCCUCGCACUAUUAAACAGCCGACUAUCGGAUUAGCUAGUUGGUGGGGUAACGGCUCGCAAGGCGACGAUCCGUAGCUGGUUUGAGAGGACGACCAACCACACUGGGACUGAGACACGGCCCAGACUCACAGGAGGCAGCAGUGGGGAAUUUUGGACAAUGGAAACCUGAUCCAGCCAUCCCGCGUGUGCGAUGAAGGCCUUCGGGUUGUAAAGCACUUUUGGCAGGAAAGAAACGGCACGGGAUAAUACCCCGUGCAACUGACGGUACCUGCAGAAUAAGCACCGGCUAACUACGUGCCAGCAGCCGCGGUAAUACGUAGGGUGCAAGCGUUAAUCGGAAUUACUGGGCGUAAAGCGUGCGCAGGCGGUUCGGAAGAAAGAUGUGAAAUCCCAGAGCUUAACUUUGGAACUGCAUUUUUAACUACCGAGCUAGAGUGUGUCAGGGGAGGUGGAAUUCCACGUGUAGCAGUGAAAUGCGUAGAUAUGCGGAGGAGGAACACCGAUGGCGAAGGCAGCCUCCUGGGAUAACGCGGCGCUCAUGCACGAAAGCGUAGAGCAAACAGGAUUAGAUACCCUGGUAGUCCACGCCCUAAACGAUGUCAACUGGCUAUUUAGGCCUUCGGGCCUUGGUAGCGCAGCUAACGCGUGAAGUUGACCGCCUGGGGAGUACGGUCGCAAGAUUAAAACUCAAAGGAAUUGACGGGGACCCGCACAAGCGGUGGAUGAUGUGGAUUAAUUCGAUGCAACGCGAAAAACCUUACCUACCCUUGACAUGUCUGGAAUCCCGAGAUUUGGGAGUGCUCACUCAGAAACCGGAACACAGGUGCUGCAUGGCUGUCGUCAGCUCGUGUCGUGAGAUGUUGGGUUAGAAUUGCAAUGAUGAAACACCUGUUGGAGUUGCGCUACGAAGGGCACUCUGGCCAAAGGACUGCUGUUGACAAACCGGAGGAAGGUGGGGAUGACGUCAAGUCCUCAUGGCCCUUAUGGGUAGGGCUUCACACGUCAUACAAUGGUCGGGACAGAGGGUCGCCAACCCGCGAGGGAGCCAAUCCGAAACCCGAUCGUAGUCCGGAUCAUGAUCUGCAACUCGACUGCGUGAAGUCGGAAUCGCUAGUAAUCGCGGAUCAGCAUGUCGCGGUGAAUACGUUCCACGGGUCUUGUACACACCGCCCGUCACACCAUGGGAGUGGGUUUUACCAGAAGUAGUUAACCUAACCGUAAGGAGGGCGAUUACCACGGUAGGAUUCAUGACUGGGGUGAAGUCGUAACAAGGUAA